CACAGAGGUCUCGAGCGUUGUUCGGAUUCAUUGGGCGUAAAGGGCGCGUAGGCGGCGGGGUAAGUCGGGUGUGAAAUCUCGGGGCUUAACUCCGAAACUGCAUUCGAUACUGCCGUGCUUGAGGACUGGAGAGGAGACUGGAAUUUACGGUGUAGCGGUGAAAUGCGUAGAUAUCGUAAGGAAGACCAGUGGCGAAGGCGGGUCUCUGGACAGUUCCUGACGCUGAGGCACGAAGGUCAGGGGAGCAAACGGG
RNAcentral lists this ribosomal RNA (253 nucleotides) under uncultured bacterium. RNAcentral describes it as "partial 16S ribosomal RNA". It matches the Rfam family "Bacterial small subunit ribosomal RNA", at positions 524 to 776 of the family's 1533-position model. The record is from RNAcentral.